CUUACUCGCAGGUACCUAAGCACCCCCACCAGACCAGUACCCAUUGUUCCAGUUUAGAGGUCCCCAUCUGAUUAGGGACGGAGGGUCGCCCCAUCCCACCCCGCUAGCAACUCAGGUCAAACAAGCGAGUCUCCCCAGGGCCACCCCGAUAACUUCCGAUACGUUAUGCUGAGCUCAGACUAACUCGGAUAAUACUCAAACUAGAUUGUAA
Non-coding RNA from Pelobates cultripes (western spadefoot toad), 211 nucleotides. The record is from the annotation of a GenBank genome assembly. NCBI's taxonomy places the organism in Eukaryota, Metazoa, Chordata, Amphibia, Anura, Pelobatidae.